AGAGUUUGAUCAUGGCUCAGGAUGAUCGCUGGCGGCGUGCCUAAUACAUGCAAGUCGAACGAGGUGCUUUUGUAGCAAUACGAGAGUAUCCUAGUGGCGAACGGGUGAGUAACGCGUUGGCGACCUACCCCAAAGUGUGGGAUAACAGUCCGAAAGGAUUGCUAAUACCGCAUGUGGUCUUCGGAUUUAGAAACUGAUGACUAAAGGAGCAAUUCGCUUUGGGAGGGACCUGCGUCCCAUCAGCUAGUUGGUGAGGUAAUGGCUCACCAAGGCUACGACGGGUAGGGGACCUGAGAGGGUGACCCCCCACAGUGGAACUGAAACACGGUCCAUACACCUACGCGUGGCAGCAGUAGGGAAUAUUGCACAAUGGGCGAAAGCCUGAUGCAGCAACGCCGCGUGUGCGAUGAAGGCCUUCGGGUCGUAAAGCACUUUUCUGGGAGAUGAGCAAGGACGGUAUCUCAGGAAUAAGUCUCGGCUAACUACGUG
Molecule: ribosomal RNA, 489 nt
Filed under: uncultured bacterium
Lineage: Bacteria
Description: bacterial SSU rRNA
Rfam family: Bacterial small subunit ribosomal RNA
Source: RNAcentral